RNAcentral lists this ribosomal RNA (614 nucleotides) under uncultured bacterium. Its description in RNAcentral is "bacterial SSU rRNA". The stretch from base 1 to 518 matches the Rfam family "Bacterial small subunit ribosomal RNA", at positions 338 to 873 of the family's 1533-position model. The record is from RNAcentral.
CCUACGGGAGGCAGCGGUAGGGAAUCUUGCGCAAUGGGCGAAAGCCUGACGCAGCCAUGCCGCGUGAAUGAUGAAGGUCUUAGGAUUGUAAAAUUCUUUCACCGGGGACGAUAAUGACGGUACCCGGAGAAGAAGCCCCGGCUAACUUCGUGCCAGCAGCCGCGGUAAUACGAAGGGGGCUAGCGUUGCUCGGAAUUACUGGGCGUAAAGGGAGCGUAGGCGGAUAGUUUAGUCAGAGGUGAAAGCCCAGGGCUCAACCUUGGAACUGCCUUUGAUACUGGCUAUCUUGAGUACGGGAGAGGUGAGUGGAACUCCGAGUGUAGAGGUGAAAUUCGUAGAUAUUCGGAAGAACACCAGUGGCGAAGGCGACUCACUGGCCCGUUACUGACGCUGAGGCUCGAAAGCGUGGGGAGCAAACAGGAUUAGAUACCCUGGUAGUCCACGCUGUAAACGAUGAGUGCUAGUUGUCGGCAUGCAUGCAUGUCGGUGACGCAGCUACGACAUUAAGACACUCCGCCGUCGGGAGGUACGGUCGCGAGAAGUUAAACGUUAAAGUAGUAAGUUAGUUACGGUCGUUGAGACGUUGCCGACGGACGACGACGAGGGAGGUUAGG